RNAcentral lists this ribosomal RNA (911 nucleotides) under Aspergillus japonicus. RNAcentral describes it as "LSU rRNA". It matches the Rfam family "Eukaryotic large subunit ribosomal RNA", at positions 38 to 964 of the family's 3401-position model. The record is from RNAcentral. RNAcentral also lists the same sequence under 1 other name. Lineage: Eukaryota; Fungi; Ascomycota; Eurotiomycetes; Eurotiales; Aspergillaceae.
GCAUAUCAAUAAGCGGAGGAAAAGAAACCAACCGGGAUUGCCUCAGUAACGGCGAGUGAAGCGGCAAGAGCUCAAAUUUGAAAGCUGGCCCCUCCGGGGUCCGCGUUGUAAUUUGCAGAGGAUGCUUUGGGUGCGGCCCCCGUCUAAGUGCCCUGGAACGGGCCGUCAGAGAGGGUGAGAAUCCCGUCUUGGGCGGGGUGUCCGUGCCCGUGUAAAGCUCCUUCGACGAGUCGAGUUGUUUGGGAAUGCAGCUCUAAAUGGGUGGUAAAUUUCAUCUAAAGCUAAAUACUGGCCGGAGACCGAUAGCGCACAAGUAGAGUGAUCGAAAGAUGAAAAGCACUUUGAAAAGAGAGUUAAACAGCACGUGAAAUUGUUGAAAGGGAAGCGCUUGCGACCAGACUCGCCCUCGGGGUUCAGCCGGCACUCGUGCCGGUGUACUUCCCCGGGGGCGGGCCAGCGUCAGCUUGGGCGGCCGGUCAAAGGCCUCCGGAAUGUAGUGCCCCCCGGGGCACCUUAUAGCCGGAGGUGCAAUGCGGCCAGCCUGGGCUGAGGAACGCGCUUCGGCACGGACGCUGGCAUAAUGGUCGCAAACGACCCGUCUUGAAACACGGACCAAGGAGUCUAACAUCUACGCGAGUGUUCGGGUGUCAAACCCGUACGCGCAGUGAAAGCAAACGGAGGUGGGAGCCCCCUCGCGGGGCGCACCAUCGACCGAUCCUGAUGUCUUCGGAUGGAUUUGAGUAAGAGCGUAAAUGUGGGGACCCGAAAGAUGGUGAACUAUGCCUGAAUAGGGCGAAGCCAGAGGAAACUCUGGUGGAGGCUCGCAGCGGUUCUGACGUGCAAAUCGAUCGUCAAAUUUGGGUAUAGGGGCGAAAGACUAAUCGAACCAUCUAGUAGCUGGUUCCUGCCGA